Molecule: long non-coding RNA, 6677 nt
Organism: Marmota monax (woodchuck)
Lineage: Eukaryota; Metazoa; Chordata; Mammalia; Rodentia; Sciuridae
Exons: 3
Source: RefSeq, a predicted model, not a curated record
CUGAAAAGUUCAUGAGCUGGAGCAGCCUGGGGAAUGAUUUCCAAUGGCCUCUUCCUACACUAAGCCUAGAGAUCAGAUAUGCAUAUUUUUCUUCCAAUCAGCAUUCAAGCCUUUCCUUUGCAUUUAUACUUACAAAUAACUUCUCUAUUUAUAUUGAAUGCUUUCUCAGAACCUUAUUUCACACUACACAUAUAAAAGGUGCUCAAAAAAUAUUUCUGAGUUAAAAUACUUCCACAGUGUCAGAGUUGUAGGAAACAAACUCAUGCCUCCUCCUUUUUCCCUGUCCAAAAUUGCUCUCGACAGCAGCAGAGCAGCCCAGCUUUGUUUGGAAUCCAUCUUUGGGAAAAUCAGCCUUGAUAAAGAACACUUAUCUAAAGCCAAAGUACAAAUAAAAAUGAACAUUAAAUAAAUUAGUCUCUAAAUGUUUUAGAUCUUGCUCCUCUUGGCAGUGUGUACAAACUAAUUUCUAAAUGAAAAGUCUGAUAAUGUAAUAAGCCUGGGGGUGCUCUCAAUCAGUUCCUGGAGAAAAUACCUCAGUGCCUGUUUAUCUAAAGCUGCCCCAUGAUUUCCUUAUCAAGAGAGCAAGAGGUGCUAAUUUACACUGCUGUGUCUCCAGUGACAUUCCUACAGUUAAGAAAGCUACUGUAAACUUAAAACAUUCUCAAACAGCCUUUCUUUCCUUACUUUAAGAAGAUAUUCUUAGCUAUGUGUCUGAGUUUUAGUCUGGGUUCUGCAAGCUGCAACAUAGCUUCCAGCCCCUAAAUCAUUUAGACCUCUGCAAACAGGGAAAAUGCAUCCCACCAAGCCUACACUGAGUCGGGCAUUAGCAUUGACACUGCAUGACUGUUGCUAGGAAUUGAUAAAUACUUUCUAUGAUGCUUCUGGAUACCAUAGAGCAAGAUAUAUAAGCACUAAGAAGAAACCUACAGUGAAUAGGUUCCUUCAGCAAACAAAGGGCAAAGGAGGGUUGUGGGCAUUUCCAGCAGGAUGCCUCCUGCAGCUGGGACUAAGUUUUAACUCCCAUCUUUGCAUGAAUGUAAAACUACAUAACAGUACAUCCCAAAAGGAAUGUAACUACCUGUGCUUGCACAAAGCAAAUGAAAGGCAAGUGAUUAAAAAAAAUCCACCUUGACUAACGUCAUUUUAUAUUAUGACUUUUAUAAAAGUCAGAGCAAUUCCUUGUAUGAAAUUUUAUAAACUUCUUGGGAAAGAGAAGCAUAACUAAAAUGUUCCACAUUUGUUAAAUACCAAAUUACCGUUUCUUACUAUGUUGGAAAGUUGUUAAUAUUUUAAAAAUACAACAAAGCAAUAAAUUUCAAAUGAUAGAUGUACUUAGACAUGACAGUGAACAAAUCCUUUUUGAGCUUAAGGUUUAUUUCACUACAUGAUUCAUCUAAGAUAAGUAUCCCAGCCAUGCAGAGUUUACACAACAUACUCUUGGGAUCGCUAAGGAUAAGUAGACCAGAGGAAUCUUGUCUCCAGCUGGUGGGAAGAUGCCAAAGCCAAGUUGAUGGCCACCAUUUGGAGAAAUGCUGACAGGAUCACAAGCCACAGCAUGAUGGCAAGGUGAUGGGACAGAGCACCAAACAAUGACAAAAACCCUCAUACAUGAAGGCUUAUUCUACAGGAGCAGACAGAACUACUGGAAUCAGCCUAUUAACAAUUUCACUUCUAUUUCCCUCAACAGUGCUCUCAGCCCUCUUGCAGAAAAAACAAAGCUGUGGACAGUGGACAGCAAUGCAGCUCCAUGUGCGGAAGUGCUAGACACAGUUUUCAGCUCCUGUGUAGUGCAGAAACCUGGGGCUCCUGAUCUAGGACUGGAAGCAGAGAAAUGGAUUCAAAGAAUGGCAUACUCCUAAAACAAAGGGAAUAGUAUGAAGUAGGGACUGAGGGCACUCAAAGGAGUCUCUGGAAGCCCUGAAGCUGGCAAGGAUCUUUUAGUGAGACAGAGCUGGAAUCUCCUGGGAAAAUGAGGUAAUGUGAAGACAACCCCAUCUUCAAAUGCAGGUUUUUUUUUUUUUCAAUCAAGAAAUAAAGUUUUCAAACUUAUCACUCAGAUUGAAAGGCAAUGAGUUUAUUAGAUGUGAUGUGAAGCAGGGAAAAGAGGACACUCUGAAGGAAGACAGAAUGUCUUCUCUGAAAAGAUAAUAGCAUGACUCUCUUGUACUCCAGUAUUAUUGAUCUAAGAAAAUAUUCCAAAUAGUUCUGCCCAGGUAAAAUUCUUGGCUUUGGACUAACAGAAGGAUAACAUCAAACUCUCAAGUAUCCACUGCCAUGAAAACUUUAGAUUAAUUAAGAUAAUUUUCACCAUUUGUAAUUGAAAUCUUUUUUUUUUUAAUUUUUUAUUGUUGGUUGUUCAAAACAUUACAAAUUUCUUGACAUAUCAUAUUCCACACUUUGAUUCAAGUGGGUUAUGAACUCCCACCUUCACCCCAUACACAGAUUGCAGAAUCACAUCAGCUACACAUCCAUUGAUUUACAUAUUGCCAUACUAGUGUCUGUUGUGCUCCCCUGCCUUUCCCAUCCUCCACCCUCCCCCCUCCCCACCUCUCCCCUCCCCUCCCCUCCUCUCUCUCUACCCCCUCCACUGUAUAACCCUGAGGGUCAACUUCCAUUUCCAUGCAAUUUCCCUUCUCUCCCCCUUUCCCUCCCACCUCUCAUCCCUGUUAAAUGUUAAUCUUCUUCUCCUGCUCUUCGUCCCUUCUCUGAUCUCAGUUACUCUCCUUAUAUCAAAGAAGACAUUUGGCAUUUGUUUUUUAGGGAUUGGCUAGCUUCACUUAGCAUAAUCUGCUCUAAUGCCAUCCAUUUCCCUGCAAAUUCUAUGAUUUUGUCAUUUUUAAUGCAGAGUAAUACUCCAUUGUGUAUAAAUGCCACAUUUUUUUUAUCCAUUCAUCUAUUGAAGGGCAUCUAGGUUGGUUCCACAGUCUUGCUAUUGUGAAUUGUGCUGCUAUGAACAUCGAUGUAGCAGUGUCCCUGUAGCCUGCUCUUUUUAGGUCUUUAGGGAAUAGACCAAGAAGGGGAAUAUCUCAGCAAAAGAAACAAUAAGAGAGGUAAAUAGGGAGCCUACACCCUGGGAACAAAUCUUUACUCCUCACACUUCAGAUAGAGCCCUAAUAUCCAGAGUAUACAAAGAACUCAAAAAAUUAGACAAUAAGAGAACAAACAACCCAAUCAACAAAUGGGCCAAGGACCUGAACAGACACUUCUCAGAGGAGGACAUACAGUCAAUCAACAAGUACAUGAAAAAAUGCUCACCAUCUCUAGCUGUCAGAGAAAUGCAAAUCAAAACCACCCUAAGAUACCAUCUCACUCCAGUAAGAUUGGCAGCCAUUAUGAAGUCAAACAACAACAAGUGCUGGCGAGGAUGUGGGGAAAAGGGUACACUUGUACAUUGCUGGUGUAAUUGAAAUCUUAACAAUAAUCUCUUACAGAUUUUAUGAUUAGUAGAAAUUAUCCUUACUUCCCUUAGUUUCAGAAUCUGGUCUGUACAGAGUCACAAAAUCUUUCCUUAAGGGUAACUUGGCUUCUUCUUAUAAACAUUAUUUUGAAACUUCAUUUUUUCUGCAGAUAACCAUUUGUUAAGAAAUGUUACAUAACCUGUCCAGUUAAGCCAGAAAGGGUGCAAGUAAAUUGUUUCAGGUAAAAUAAAGCAUGAGGUAAACAUUUUGGGCCUAUUUACUUUUUAUUUAUGGGACUGUGUAUUGAAACUAGAGGUAGUCAACAACUGAGCUACAUCAACAGCCCUUUUUAUAAAUUUUACUUUAUUUAGAGACAAGUUCUCACUAUUUUGCUUAGUGCCUCACUGAUAAGUUGCUGAGACUGGCUCUUAACUCAUGAUUCUCUUGCCUCACCCUAUAAAUCUAAUGGUAAUAUAGGCAUGGGGCACCAUGCCCAACCUACCACUUAUCUUAAAGGUACUUCAAUUUUUAUUACAAGGCUCUGUGAAUAAUACUAUCAUGAAAAUGGAAGUGCAAUGUAUUCUAUGAUGUAAUGACUCUAAUUUGUUUACAUCCAUAUUCAAAAUUACUAGUACUGGAUCAUUUUAUUUAACUAUAUUUUUAUUUUAACUUUUUGAAGAACCUGAAUACCAUUUUCUAAAACAGCUUUAUUUAAUUUAUAUUCUCACCAACAUUUUUACAACUGAUUAUUUAUAUCUAUGCUCAUAUAUUCUGGAGUAUCUACUAUUUUUUCCAUUUUUGUUUCUUCUUCUAAAUAUUUAUUUAUUUAUUUGUCAGAGACAGACAAAUUCCUUUUAUUUUAUUUAUUUAUUUUAUCUGGUUCUGAGGCUUAAACCAGUGACUUUCAUGUAUUAGGCAAUUGCUGUACAACUAAGCCAGAACCACAGCCACUAUCUUUUGGAUUUUUUUAGAAGGUAUUCUGACAAAACUACAAAGGGUGUAGGAUUUUGCCAUUUGACUGAUGCAUUAAAUUGCUGAUACUAGCUUGUCAGAAUUUAGGCUGUCAAGUAGCCAGAGGCAGAGUGUGCUUUAAAUACUUUCUCUGAUCAAUGGGGGAUCAUUAAUUUUUAACACAUUUCUAACACUACUGCUGGGAAUUUUAGUCCUUAGAUGUAGUUACACACAAUGCAAAUCCAAUUGUUUGCUAUGUAUGAAGAUUUGCACAUGCUCAAUCUCCUUUGCUUAUAGAUAUUGGAAGUUUAGGAUAAAAUUUCUUCAACAGAAGUUGCUAAUGUUAGACACUCAGUGCAUGGAGAAACUUUUUUUUUCUGGAAACAAUUGGUAGGCUUAAAAUUAUUAUUGGGGUAAACAAGGGUAGGUCAGGGCUCAGAAAGUGCUCAAGUUACACUGAGUCUAUCAGUGGUUUGCUUAAUUUUACCUCUUGAACCCAGAAUUAAAUCAAAAGAAAAGCAAAUUUUCCAGCAACAGAAGUAAGAAAACCACUGGUAAGUCUAUUCUUGGAACAAACUGACACCUUUGAGAUUUAACUUCUCUGCCUUCAGGUUGUGAAACACAUGAAAAGACUUACUUGUUCAUAGAAGACCACCACUUUGUCAUUUUUAUACUUAUAUAUCACUUCUUCUAUAACCAAUGAAUAAAUUAAUGUAGAAAUUACAGAAAUAUUUAAAGUCGCUUUUAUAUAUCUUGAUAGCCCUCUAUUCAAGGUGUCCCCUGACUUUGGGGGAAUUUUGUCCCAAAUAUGUGGCACUUCACUCGACAAUUCAAAUAUCCAGGUCUACUCCACCUUUUUCCUACUCAUUUCACUGUAGUUAUUUUCUUUAUUGUCCAAUGUACCUACAUCUCUGAAUUCAUUCAUGACUUUGUCAAAUAAGGAUCCAUAACAUAAGUAUAUGUGUAUUCGGUGUAUCAGUAAAGGGAGAGAUGGUUAGAAGCUUCACAUUCUGCUAUAUUUCUGUUAUGUUUCAGUUGUUAGGUGUCCCCCAAAAGCUCCCCUGUUAGACAAUGCAGGGAGGUUUGGGAUACAAAUGAUUGGGUUAUAGCCUUAAUGUCAUCAGUGAAUUAAUUCCUGAAUAAAUUACCUGUGUGGUAACUGAAGUGACAAUGUGUCGCUGAAGGAAGUGGGAAUUGGGCAUGUGGCUUUGAAGUAUAAAUUUAUGUAUUUACUCAAAACAGAGAAUCUGUCUCUUCUUCCUAGUCAUCAUGAGAGUUUCUUCCCUCUGCUACACCCUUCUGCCAUUAAGUUCUGCCUCACCUUGAGCCCUAAGGAAUGGAGCAGUCUUCUAUAGACAAAGACCUCUGUAAAGCUAAGCCUGCAAAUAAAAUUUUAUUCCUCUACAAUUUCUCUGGUCAAGUUCUUUAGUCACAGUGGUAAAAAAAAAAAAAUAAAGCUGACUAAAACAACUUCUAAUUUCAUCUCACCUUAACAUCUUCUUUUUGUGAUGAGUUUGAACAUUACCUUACAUAUUCUGCACACAAAGUUUCAGGAAACUGUAAUCCUAGCCCAAACAUAUAACUUUCUAUUUUUAAUUUAUUUAUUAAUUUAUUUUUCACAUAAUAAGUUACAGUUAAUCUUGGGUAUUGCAAAUUUCAUAAGAGAACUUAUGUAAUAUUUUCGAGACAUACAAUUAAGAUUUUUUAUUUAAAAUAUUUUAUUUCUUCUGCAUUCACUCACAUUCUUUUAUAAUCUAAUAUUUAAAAAUUUAUUCUAAUUUCUUAUAUAUGAUGGCAGAAUUCAUUUCAGUUCAUAAUACACAUAUAUGGCACGAUUCUUUAUAUCUCUUGUUAUACACAACAUAGAGUCACACCAUUUGUGUCUUCAUACAUUUACUUAGGGAAAUGGUAUGUUUCUUUUUCCACCGCCUUUCCUAUUGCCAUGUCCCCUUCCUCCUCCCCUCUGCCCUAUCUAUAGUUUGUCUAUUCCUCCCGUCCUCCUCCUUCCUCUCAAUUUUGAAUCACAAUCUUUAUAUCAGAGAAAAUAUUCAGCAUUUGUUUUGUUGAAUAUUGGCUUACUUCACUUAUUAGAUUUAUAUUCUCCAACUCCAUCCAUUUAUCUGAAAAUGCCAUGAAUGUAUUCAAUUGUGUAUUAAUGUGCAUUUUAUUUAUCCAUUAUUCUACUGAAGAGCAUCAGAGCAUACUACAAGGAUACAGCUAAAUCAAUAUUUAUAACAGCACAAUUCCAAAAAUGCUUAAAACCACCAGAUUAUAAUAUUUAUUUUUCUAAAGAUCUUAUGUACAGAUAUUAAAAUUCUACUUUACACA